AAAUNGCAUGAGUGAUCUGUGUCUUAAGGA
Molecule: non-coding RNA, 30 nt
Filed under: Homo sapiens (human)
Lineage: Eukaryota; Metazoa; Chordata; Mammalia; Primates; Hominidae
Source: RNAcentral